AUAUAAAAAAAGAACAGAGUUAUCUACCGUGGUAAUUUGAUACGGACGCCAUCGGACCCGCCAAAGACAAACAAAAUUUAAAACAAUGGAUCUCAUAUAUCAAGCAUAUAUUUCUAUUGACGAUGCAACAGAUACAGAACUUCAUAUUAGAAUAUUGACGGAAUCAAAAGCCAUCUUAACCGUUAUUACAGCAGCGGAAGGACUUUGACACUGAAGUGGGAAUGAAAAGAGCUUGAAUGAAUCCAUAUCAUAGAUCAAAUUGAAGAACAGAUCAGGAAGAAAGAAAAGGAUGAUUUAAUUUCAAGAGCAGAUGAUACAAAAGUUCACCUGACAACCAAAAAGGAACUGCAUACCAAGAGCAUUUAUCUUUCAAAAGAAGAUUGUUCCAUAAUGAAAAAUUCCUUUAUCAUAGGAGAUGAACUGACAAUUUCUGUUUUGUUGAGGAAAAAAAUCAUCAAAUUUUAUAAUUGUAUUUUUUGAUUGCAUUUAGUGAGACUUAAAAAUAAAUUAUUGAACUAAUUUGAA
Mytilus trossulus (common blue mussel) is the source of this 525-nucleotide long non-coding RNA. RefSeq lists it as uncharacterized. The record is from RefSeq and is a predicted model, not a curated record. The transcript is spliced from 3 exons. Lineage: Eukaryota; Metazoa; Mollusca; Bivalvia; Mytilida; Mytilidae.